AAAAAGUGAGAAUUAUAAUAUAACAAGAAUGCGUCGACGAAUCAGAUGGAUCCGAGAAUAAGAGUGAUGAAAGAAAGAGGAGUGGAGCGAAGAAGGAGAUGAGAAAAGGUAUAUCACUUUCUUUCUCAACUUAAUCCUAAUUUAAAAUUAAUAUAAAUAUCGUAAAAAAUAGUAAUAACUGAGAUUAAGUGAAGGAUAUUAG
Molecule: long non-coding RNA, 202 nt
Filed under: Musa acuminata (dwarf banana)
Lineage: Eukaryota; Viridiplantae; Streptophyta; Magnoliopsida; Zingiberales; Musaceae
Description: long non-coding RNA (MACU_LNC007361)
Source: RNAcentral